GUAUGGUGCAAGCGUUAUCCGGAUUUACUGGGUGUAAAGGGAGCGUAGGCGGCGCGUUAAGUCUGAUGUGAAAACCCGAGGCUCAACCACGGGAGUGCAUUGGAAACUGGCGGGCUGGAGUGCCGGAGAGGUAAGCGGAAUUCCUAGUGUAGCGGUGAAAUGCGUAGAUAUUAGGAGGAACACCAGUGGCGAAGGCGGCUUACUGGACGGCAACUGACGCUGAGGCUCGAAAGCGUGGGGAGCAA
This 245-nucleotide ribosomal RNA is filed under the name uncultured bacterium. Its description in RNAcentral is "partial 16S ribosomal RNA". It matches the Rfam family "Bacterial small subunit ribosomal RNA", at positions 527 to 771 of the family's 1533-position model. The record is from RNAcentral.